AACAACACUAACGGAAACAUCAACGUGAAAGCGAGACGGACGCCCUCCGUCCCGUUAUAUGCUGUGUCUGUCUGUCUUUAAUAUAUAUAGUUGAAAAAAAUAUAUCAAAUAAAAAACAAGUGCAAGAAAAGAGAAAAGCGCCCAAUGCGGCCAAUGGAAAUGCCAAAGAAAAUGCAGCAGCUACAAAUUCGACAACAAAUGCAAAUUCUACAACAACAACAGCAGAAGAAGCAGCAGCAACAACAUCAACUGCAAUUUCCCAACACAUAAGUCCACCGAAUUUUCCGUCUUUGUCGCGCGCGCUCACACACAUACACACUCAACUUGCACACACACACACACACGGAGACACAUGCAUGUGCAUAAAUGGCAAUAUGGACGAACAGCAGCAGCAUUUGCGUUGUAUACCAACACAGUGACACGCGCGUGCCAAAUAUUGCCGAUUUUAUCACACAAGCAACAACAACAUCAGCGGGACCAGCUAUUAACUAAAGGAGCCAUUACAACAACAAAAACGGGAUCCAGCAAAGUAACAGCAACUGCAAUAGCAAGUACAACGAGAGCAACGAACAUUGCUGGAAGGCGUCGCAAAAUAUCAAAAUGUCAAUUCAGAAGCUAAACGACACCACCAACUCGGGCUACGUGAGUUCCGAGGAGACGGACUCGCUGCUGGUGAGCAGCUCGAAUCCAACGAAGGGCGGCGGUCGGACGGCUCUGCUCCGCCAGGUGAAGAGUAGCUCCACAAAUGGGCCAACGACGGGGGCGUCCACCUCAUCCUCGGGAUCGGUAUCGGUGUCGGUAUCGGGCGGGGGCGGUGGAUCCGGUUCCGGUGGCGGCUCAGCAUCAGGCUCAGCAGCCGGGGCUUCCAAGCCAACGCUAAUGCGUCAGGAUCGUACUUCCACCUACCUGACCAGUCCGCAGCAGUCGCAGCACGCGAGGAUGGGUUCCGAGGAGAGUAUGCGCGGUGGCAGCGGUGCCGCCGGCAAUGACGAGGAUGUGGAACAGGGCCUGGUCCGCAGCAGCAUAGUGCCUGAUAUCGAAGUACACGAAGAGGACCAAGAACAACAUAGCCAACAGGCAACGAUGACCAAUAAUCAAUUGCAACAGCAGCAGCAGCAACAGCAACAGCAACAGCAACCGACCAUAUCAAUUAUGAAUUUAAGCCUCAAGCCCGGCGAUAGCCACAGCCACAGCCAUAGCCACAGCUCCAGUCCGGGCAGUCAUCCGAAUUUGGGCACCUCAUCAUAUCAAAAUCUGGCCUCGAGCAUACCGCCCAGCGUGCCAAGUCGCUGCCGGGCGUGCCGCAAUUGCAGCCGACGUGCUUCCACCACGCCCACCACGCUGAUCGAUCGCUCCGCCUCCCGCGACAGUGUGAAAAGUGCCUUCCAGCAGGGCAAUCUCAGCGGCUCCAUGGCCAUUUGCAUAUCAAACUCGGCCCUGCCCCAGCAGCAGCAGCAGCAACAGUAUCACCUGCAACAGCAGCAGCAGCACUAUCAGUUGCAGCAACACCACCUGCAUCAGCAGCAUCUGCAGCAGCAACAGCAGCAGCAGCAGGUGCCACCUGUGCUAAUCACAUCAUCGCCAACGAACGGAUCACGGAUAAUACGGCAAAGCUCACAGCCGGAAUCGAGCAGUACGGCCAUUUGCUGUGGCCCCCAUUCCGCCUGCGUCGGCCACGCCCACUCGCACUCGCAUACGGUGCCGAAUGUCUCGCUGAAGCAACUGCGUGAGAGCUCCGGCGAUGGAAUCGCUGGCAUUGCAGCCGACUCCCUGCGGAUCAAUGGGGGCAUGCGGCCUUUCAAGCAGGGCGUUCUUCUAAUGCCUCGCACCUUGUCCGAAAGCCGAAAGUUGCGCCUUCGAAGGGCCUUCACCGAGGCCACUAACGAAACACUUCAAUGCUCCAAAAUGCUCCGCAAACCGGCGUCGACACUCUCAAUUCCUGGCUCGAUGAAAACACCUUCCAUUGCGAACCGGGAACAGAUCUCAUCUGGAUGCAACGAAGAAGCGGCCGAGGCACUAGUGGGUAUCCACUCAGACUACCCUAGGUAUAUGGAAGAACGUGCUCUUACUGGCGGCAAUACGUCCAGGAAGCCAUCAACAAACUCGGCCAAACACAAACCCAAUGUGGGCUAUCGCCUGGGAAAGAGGAAAGCCCUCUUCGAGAAGCGCAAACGGAUCAGCGAUUACGCCCUGGUCAUGGGCAUGUUCGGGAUCAUCGUGAUGGUUAUCGAAAACGAACUGAGCAGUGCCGGUGUCUACACAAAGGCAUCGUUCUACUCGACAGCGUUAAAAACCUUAAUAUCUGUUUCGACUGUGAUUCUUUUAGGACUUAUAGUAGCUUACCAUGCUUUGGAAGUGCAGGUGAGAUUAUUCAUGAUAGAUAACUGCGCUGACGAUUGGAGGAUCGCAAUGACAUGGCAACGAAUUAGUCAAAUAGGGUUAGAACUUUUUAUAUGCGCUAUACAUCCAAUUCCUGGCGAAUACUAUUUCCAGUGGACGACGAAAUUGGCCAAUAAGAAUAAAACAAUUGGCACCGAAAUGGUGCCAUAUGACGUAGCUUUAUCAUUACCUAUGUUCCUUCGAUUAUAUUUAAUCUGCCGCGUAAUGCUGCUGCAUUCAAAGCUAUUCACAGAUGCAUCAUCACGGAGCAUUGGCGCUCUCAAUAGGAUUAAUUUUAACACAAGAUUCGUUUUAAAAACUCUAAUGACAAUAUGCCCGGGAACGGUUCUAUUGGUUUUCAUGGUCUCGCUGUGGAUCAUCGCAUCCUGGACGCUGCGUCAAUGCGAAAGGGCGCCGGCUGUACGGCUCUACUGGUGGCCGUUGUCUCCCGGAAACUGGAGCUGACCCGUGCCGAGAAGCAUGUGCACAACUUCAUGAUGGACACGCAGUUGACCAAACGGCUGAAAAAUGCUGCGGCGAAUGUUCUGCGUGAAACUUGGCUCAUUUACAAACAUACAAGACUAGUAAAACGGGUUAAUCCCGGCCGUGUAAGA
RNAcentral lists this unclassified non-coding RNA (2993 nucleotides) under Drosophila yakuba. RNAcentral's name for it is "GE16400". The record is from RNAcentral. Lineage: Eukaryota; Metazoa; Arthropoda; Insecta; Diptera; Drosophilidae.